UGUUAGCAAGGGCCGGGCAAGACCGGUGCCAGCCGCCGCGGUAAUACCGGCGGCUCGAGUGGUGGCCGAUAUUAUUGAGUCUAAAGGGUCCGUAGCCGGCUUUGCAAGUCUCUCGGGAAAUCCAGCGGCUUAACCGUUGGGCGUCUGGGGGCUACUACAUUGCUUGGGACUGGGAGAGGCGAGAGGUACUCAGGGGGUAGGAGUGAAAUCCUGUAAUCCUUUGGGGACCACCGGUGGCGAAGGCGUCUCGCCAGAACAGGUCCGACGGUGAGGGACGAAAGCUAGGGGCACGAACCGGAUUAGAUACCCGGGUAGUCCUAGCCGUAAACGAUGCUCGCUAGGUGUCACAACAGUCGUGAACUGUUGUGGUGCCGUAGGGAAGCCGUGAAGCGAGCCACUUGGGAAGUACGACCGCAAGGUUGAAACUUAAAGGAAUUGGCGGGGGAGCACCACAACGGGUGGAGCCUGCGGUUUAAUUGGACUCAACGCCGGGAAGCUUACCGGGAUCGACAGUUGUAUGAAGGCCAGGCUGAAGACCUUGCCGGACUAUCUGAGAGGAGGUGCAUGGCC
RNAcentral lists this ribosomal RNA (570 nucleotides) under uncultured archaeon. RNAcentral's name for it is "bacterial SSU rRNA". It matches the Rfam family "Archaeal small subunit ribosomal RNA", at positions 430 to 999 of the family's 1478-position model. The record is from RNAcentral.